This 490-nucleotide ribosomal RNA is filed under the name uncultured bacterium. RNAcentral's name for it is "bacterial SSU rRNA". It matches the Rfam family "Bacterial small subunit ribosomal RNA", at positions 30 to 507 of the family's 1533-position model. The record is from RNAcentral.
AUUGAACGCUGGCGGCAUGCCUUACACAUGCAAGUCGAACGGCAGCACGGGUGCUUGCACCUGGUGGCGAGUGGCGAACGGGUGAGUAAUAUAGUCGGAACGUACCUUAGUUGUGGGGGAUAACGCAGCGAAAGCUGUGCUAAUACCGCAUAAUCCCUUAGGGGGGAAAAGCGGGGGGACCGUAAGGCCUCGCGCAAUUAGAGCGGCCGAUACCUGAUUAGCUAGUUGGUGAGGUAAAGGCUCACCAAGGCAACGAUCAGUAGCUGGUCUGAGAGGACGAUCAGCCACACUGGGACUGAGACACGGCCCAGACUCCUACGGGAGGCAGCAGUGGGGAAUUUUGGACAAUGGGGGCAACCCUGAUCCAGCAAUGCCGCGUGAGUGAAGAAGGCCUUCGGGUUGUAAAGCUCUUUUGUCAGGGAAGAAACAGCAGCUCUAACACAGUCUGCGAAUGACGGUACCUGAAGAAUAAGCACCGGCUAACUACGUG